This 383-nucleotide ribosomal RNA is filed under the name uncultured bacterium. Its description in RNAcentral is "bacterial SSU rRNA". It matches the Rfam family "Bacterial small subunit ribosomal RNA", at positions 28 to 412 of the family's 1533-position model. The record is from RNAcentral.
GACGAACGCUGGCGGCGUGCUUAACACAUGCAAGUCGAGCGGUAAGGCCCUUUCGGGGGUACACGAGCGGCGAACGGGUGAGUAACACGUGGGUGACCUGCCCUUAGCUCUGGGAUAAGCCUGGGAAACUGGGUCUAAUACCGGAUAUGACUCCAUAACGCAUGUUGUGGGGUGGAAAGCCUUGUGCGGCUAGGGAUGGGCCCGCGGCCUAUCAGCUUGUUGGUGGGGUGAUGGCCCACCAAGGCGGACGACGGGUAGCCGGCCUGAGAGGGCGACCGGCCACACUGGGACUGAGACACGGCCCAGACUCCUACGGGAGGCAGCAGUGGGGAAUCUUGCGCAAUGGGCGAAAGCCUGACGCAGCGACGCCGCGUGGGGAUGAC